GUGUUUUCAACGGGUUUUACUCCCCUGCUAAGGGAGUAGGCGUCUAAAAAGCGCGCGAGAGUUCAAAUCUCUCCUUCCGCGCCA
This 84-nucleotide transfer RNA is filed under the name Siphoviridae sp. ctSMg55. RNAcentral describes it as "tRNA-OTHER". The record is from RNAcentral. Lineage: Duplodnaviria; Heunggongvirae; Uroviricota; Caudoviricetes.